UAUGCCUGUCAUAUUUUUUUUUUUUGGGGGGGGGGCCUGGCCAGUACCUGGAUGGGAGACUAACUGGGAAAGCUGGGCUGCAGCUGGAA
This 89-nucleotide ribosomal RNA is filed under the name Paramormyrops kingsleyae. The record is from RNAcentral. Lineage: Eukaryota; Metazoa; Chordata; Actinopteri; Osteoglossiformes; Mormyridae.